CUGAUUACUUAUCUCCUCCAGCCAAAAAAAAAAAAAUGUCAGUACGCUUGCUCGUCGUGUUCGUCUUAUGCCUUCAUUGCCUUCAACUGCAUGCGCAUGGAGGCAUCUCACUGAAGUCUCAACAGACGACACUUCUUCAUUGGAAGUCCACACUACGGAACUUACCGCCACAGAUGAGCUCUUGGCAGGACGAAACCAGCCCAUGCAGCUGGACCGGCAUCAUGUGCAGUGCCGUCCACCACGGCCAUCGCAUGCCGUGGGUCGUGACCAACAUCUCCCUCCCAGAUGCCGGCAUCCAUGGCCAGCUCGGUGAGCUCAACUUCUCGGCUCUCCCAUUCCUCACAUAUAUUGACCUCAGCAACAACAGUCUACAUGGCGCCAUCCCAGCCAACAUCAGUUCUCUCUCAACGCUCUCCCACCUUGACCUCGGGAGCAAUUGGCUUACUGGAAAAAUACCACAUGAGAUUGGUGACCUACAAAGUCUCACCAGCUUGUUCCUCUCCUUUAACAACCUCACAGGCCACAUCCCUACCUCAUUGGGUAACCUAACAAUGUUAAUUAAGCUUGUCAUUCACCAAAACAUGGUCUCAGGUCCCAUCCCAAAGGAGAUAGGAAAGCUUUUCAGCCUGCAGGUUCUACAACUAAGUAACAGUACCUUAAGCGGUGGGAUACCCAGAGCUCUUGGAAAUCUGACCCAGCUAAAUACUUUGUAUCUGUUUGGUAAUGAACUGUAUGGGCCUAUACCCACACAACUAGGCAAGCUCAUUAACCUGCAAAGUCUUGCUCUGAGCAGUAAUAACCUUACUGGUGCAAUCCCUGCCUCUUUAGCCAAUCUCACUAAGAUCACCUCAUUUUAUCUAUAUGAAAAUCAAAUUACAGGUUCUAUUCCUCCAGAACUAGGCAAGCUGGUCAGCUUACAAAUUCUACAUCUCGGCAAAAACAAGCUCACAGGUCCCAUACCCCUAGAACUUGGCAUCCUAUCAAAUCUCCAGAUGAUGAGAUUGUAUACCAACCAAAUCUCUGGUUUUAUUCCUGCUAGCUUAGGAAACCUUAGCAACCUCCAACAUUUGUCUUUGCAAGAGAAUCAACUUUCUGGCUCAAUACCAAAAACUUUUGGCAACCUGCAAAGCAUCCAAGAUCUACAGCUCGGUAACAACACCAUAAGCGGUGAGAUACCCAUAACCCUUGGAAAUCUGACCCAGCUAAAUGCUUUGUAUUUAUAUGGUAAUGAACUGUCCGGGCCAAUACCCAUAGAACUAGGCAAGCUCGCCAGCUUGCAAAUUCUUCAUCUCGGCAAAAACAAGCUCACAGGUCCCAUACCCCUAGAACUUGGAAUCCUAUCAAAUCUCCAGAUUCUGAGAUUGUAUACCAACCAAAUCUCUGGUUUUAUUCCUGCCAGCUUAGGAAACCUUAGCAACCUCCAACAUUUGUCUUUUCAAGAGAAUCAACUUUCUGGCUCAAUACCAAAAACUUUUGGCAACCUGCAAAGCAUCCAAGAUCUACAGCUAGGUAACAACACUAUAAGCGGUGAGAUACCCACAACCCUUGGAAAUCUGACCCAGCUAAAUGCUUUGUAUUUAUAUGGUAAUGAACUGUCCGGGCCAAUACCCAUAGAACUAGGCAAGCUCGUCAGCUUGCAAAUUCUUCAUCUCGGCAAAAACAAGCUCACAGGUCCCAUACCCCUAGAACUUGGAAUCCUAUCAAAUCUCCAGAUUCUGAGAUUGUAUACCAACCAAAUCUCUGGUUUUAUUCCUGCCAACUUAGGAAACCUUAGCAACCUCCAACAUUUGUCUUUGCAAGAGAAUCAACUUUCUGGCUCAAUACCAAAAACUUUUGGCAACCUGCAAAGCAUCCAAGAUCUACAGCUAGGUAACAACACCAUAGGCGGUGAGAUACCCACAACCCUUGGAAAUCUGACCCAGCUAAAUGCUUUGUAUUUAUAUGGUAAUGAACUGUCCGGGCCAAUACCCAUAGAACUAGGCAAGCUCGUCAGCUUGCAAAUUCUUCAUCUCGGCAAAAACAAGCUCACAGGUCCCAUACCCCUAGAACUUGGAAUCCUAUCAGAUCUCCAGAUUCUGAGAUUGUAUACCAACCAAAUCUCUGGUUUUAUUCCUGCCAGCUUAGGAAACCUUAGCAACCUCCAACAUUUGUCUUUGCAAGAGAAUCAACUUUCUGGCUCAAUACCAAAAACUUUUGGCAACCUGCAAAGCAUCCAAGAUCUACAGCUAGGUAACAACACCAUAAGCGGUGAGAUACCCACAACCCUUGGAAAUAUGACCCAACUAAAUGCUUUGUAUUUAUAUGGUAAUGAACUGUCCGGGUCAAUACCCAUAGAACUAGGCAAGCUCAUCUGCUUGCAAAUUCUUCAUCUCGGCAAAAACAAGCUCACAGGUCCCAUACCCCUAGAACUUGGAAUCCUAUCAAAUCUCCAGAUUCUGAGAUUGUAUACCAACCAAAUCUCUGGUUUUAUUCCUGCCAGCUUAGGAAACCUUAGCAACCUCCAACAUUUGUCUUUGCAAGAGAAUCAACUUUCUGGCUCAAUACCAAAAACUUUUGGCAACCUGCAAAACAUCCAAGAUCUGUACAUCCACACUAACCAAUUAUCAGGUCCUCUUCCUCAUGAGUUUGGAAAUCUCACAAGCAUAGUAGUACUUCAGCUAACUAAUAACUCCCUUUCAGGCCCUUUGCCCGCAAAUAUAUGUAUGGGUGGCAAACUCAAAGUUUUCUUGGUUUCUUUGAACAUGUUUGAUGGCUCUAUUCCGAGGAGCUUGAAGGAAUGUACAACCUUGGUUCGACUUUCACUAUAUGGGAACAAGCUAACGGGAGAUAUAUCCAAACAUUUUGGUGUGUAUCCACAACUCGUGACAAUACGAUUAGAAUCAAAUAGGCUCUCUGGGGAAAUCUCACCGAAUUGGGGUGCCUGUCCCCAACUAGAGGUACUACAUUUAUCAGAAAAUUCUAUCAGUGGCAAAAUACCCUCUGCUCUUUCUAAAUUGUCCAACUUGGUUGAACUAAAACUCGAUUCUAAUAAUCUCAGUGGUGAGAUACCUCAUGAAAUUGGCAAUUUAACAAAUCUUUAUAGCCUGAAUUUAUCACUAAAUCAGCUGUCUGGAUCCAUACCACCACAGCUGGGAAAGCUGAGAAAUUUAGGUUACCUUGAUAUAUCUGGUAACAAUUUAAGUGGAUCCAUACCUAACCAAUUGGGAGACUGCAUCAAGCUACAGUCCUUGAGGAUUAACAAUAACAACUUCAAUGGGAAUUUGCCUGGUGCAAUAGGAAAUUUGGCAAGCCUACAGAUCAUGUUAGAUGUUAGCAAUAACAAACUCAAUGGUGUCUUGCCACAACAACUUGGAAUGUUGAAGAUGUUGGAAGUUCUUAAUUUAUCCCACAACCAGUUCAGUGGAAGCAUUCCUCCCUCCUUUGCUAGCAUGCUGAGCCUAUCAAUGCUUGAUGUGUCCUACAACAACUUGGAAGGACCAAUCCCAGAAGGACAUCAAUUUCAAAAUGCUUCAGCUAGCUGGUUUCUCCACAAUAAAGGUCUGUGUGGUAAUCUCUCUGGCUUGCCACCAUGUUAUUCAACUCAAGUAUCUGGUCGCCAUAAAAGAAGGCUACUUGCUUUGCUGCUUCCAAUUGUCCUUGUUGUGGGUUUCACCAUUCUUUCUACAACUGUAAUUAUCAUGAUCCGUGCUCAUAACAAGAGAAAGCCCCAAGAAAGUGUUACUAGCAACGGAAGAGACAUGUUCUCUGUCUGGAGUUUUGAUGGAAGACUUGCAUUUGAGGAUAUCGUCAGGGCAACUGAAAAUUUCGAUGACAAUUACAUCACUGGAACAGGAGGAUAUGGAAAAGUAUACAAAGCACAACUACAGGAUGGACAAAUAGUUGCUGUGAAGAAGCUUCAUCCCACUGAAGAAGAGAUGAAUGAUGAAAGAAGAUUUUCACACGAAAUGGAAAUCUUAUUGCAAAUUCGACAGAGAAGCAUUGUCAAGUUUUAUGGAUUUUGCUCCCAUCCAGAGUACAAGUUUCUUGUAUACGACUACAUAGAGAGGGGAAGCCUUCACAUAACAAUGGAAAACGAGGAGCUAGCUAAAGAAUUGAACUGGGAAAAGAGAUCAACUAUGGUUAAAGAUGUGGCUCAAGCGAUAGCUUAUUUGCACCACGAGUGCAAUCCACCGAUAAUCCAUCGAGAUCUCACAAGCAACAACGUCUUGCUAGAUAGAACUUUCAAGGCUUAUGUCUCGGAUUUUGGUACAGCAAGGAUUUUGAAACCGGAUUCAUCAAACUGGAGUGCGCUAGCAGGCACUUAUGGCUAUAUAGCUCCUGAGCUAUCCUACACAUCUAUUGUCACAGAGAAAUGUGAUGUUUAUAGCUUUGGUGUGGUUGUCCUCGAGGUAGUGAUGGGGAAACAUCCAAGAGAUCUUCUGCAUCACCUCACAUCAUCAAGGGAGCAUUCUAUGGAACUUGAGAAAAUCCUGGAUCAGCGACCAGCGGCACCAACCACAACAGAAGCGAAAGACAUAGCUCUCCUAAUGAAGGUGGCAUUUUCUUGCCUGCAAGCUUCUCCACUAGCAAGGCCAACAAUGCAGGAGGCAUACCAGGCCCUUAUCCAUCAUCAGUUUUCUUGUUCUUCCCAAGACAUUUCAGUAUAGGUGAGCUCUAUCCAUAUCCAUGGUACCAAGGUAUACUUCCCUUAUGUGUUCUUGAGCACAUUGCUGUGUUAAACCAUGGUGUCGAAACCAUCAGAGGGUUUCAGAUGCUACAUAGACUAUCAUACAAAUUAACGGAACAGCUAAAUGAUUAGAGCUAUCAUACACAUGUAUUGUGACAGAGAAAUCUGACGUCUACAGCUUUGGUGUGGUUAUGCUAGAGGUGGUGCUGGGGAAGUAUAAAAAAGAUCUUCUUUAUCACCUUCCAUUAUCAUCACAGUUUACAAGAGCAGCAUUUGCUGCUUAAGGAAGUCUUCAAGUUCCUGCCGGGGUGGGUUCGGGUUUCGCUUUGCAUCCACGGGUGACCCACAGGCCUCGAAAUCCGGCUCAAUCCUCAAUUCCUCAGGAGUGAGUGGGCACGAGGCCACAGGCGGCCUUAACCUCCUCACGCUCUCCCUCUAUCUCACUUCUCUCUACCAGAGCGCAGCGCCGUCCAGCAGUUUGAAGGAGCGCCGCCAAAUCCGUGAGCCCAGAGCACGGAUUCACCCCCGUCGAGCCGCGGGGAGCCAAGGGGUAGGUUGCACGACGCUCCAUCGACGAAAUCCCGCCGUCUCCCGUCGGAUUUAGCGCGUCGCCGCCGUUCUUCCUCGACUCCAGCGAGUUGCUAUGCCCUUCACCGACGAACCACCAUGGCCAAGCAGCCCAAGCUUCUCCUCCGCUCGGCCUCCCGGCACCACGCCUCCGCUCCGUCUCCCGCAGUCCCGCCUUCGGCGUCUAGGCCGCCAUUCAUCACGGCCACGCUCAGGCCGCCCCUCUCCCAGCACCGACCGCGCCACGGCAGUGGAGGCCGCCGGAUCCCGCGCCCAUGCGACGCGCCGGCGGUGGAGGCCGGUGAAUCCCGCGCCCGUUCGACGCGCCGGCGGAAGAGCGUGCCCGUGCGACGCGCCGACGGAGGAGGCCACCGUUGAUCCCGCGCCCUCGCUCGCCGGUGGAGGAGGCCGACGCGAGGGCCGUGUCGACGGAGAUGGGCUGGAGCAGAGCGCAGUCGGCAAGGAUCGGCAGCCGCGAGUCAUUGUGUUCCGGCCAGCCUUCGUGUUGUGUUCCGGCCGGCCUUCGUGUUGUGACUGUUGAAGUGGAUAUGCUCCGGUCCUGUCGCCGUUGAGA
RNA transcript from Phragmites australis (common reed), 5807 nucleotides. It is a transcript of the gene named probable leucine-rich repeat receptor-like protein kinase At1g35710, with no coding region annotated. NCBI's taxonomy places the organism in Eukaryota, Viridiplantae, Streptophyta, Magnoliopsida, Poales, Poaceae. The record is from RefSeq and is a predicted model, not a curated record. The transcript is spliced from 3 exons.